UUUCUCCCACUCUGAUGCAAAUGCUCUCACACUUGCCGUCCGAGUCACUGACAGCUCGUGUAAACUCGGGUAACGAGUGGAGCACGAUCAGCGAAAGAGGAAUACACUCGGAAGCCGAACUGAAAACAGUGUUUUUUUCUCCCGGCUCUUUGUUGUAUGAGAAGAGCCGACCAACCCUGGUCGGAAGUUAAUCCUGAGCUCUCCACUGGAGGACAUCCUUCGUUCGAUCGGUAAAAAAAGGUCUGUCUGAAGGAUAUUCUAACGACCCCGAAUUACAGUGAAGAUCAACGGUGGCUUUGUUUAAAAAGCGAGAUAAAUUGUUGAAAACACCACAAUGCAGCUGGUGAGCAACCCGAAUCAGUUCAACGUGUUGGUUGCCCCGAUUUUGUACAGAAACGAUGAACGAUAGCUUAUAACUCUUGAGGUUUUCCUAGGGAAUAUGAAAGUUAAACUACCUUGUGUACCUUAUUUGAUUUUCCGCUUAUAAGGGUGCACGUCAUGCUUUGGUUGAGGGGCAGAUUAUUAUCCAGGCCGUGCAGAACGUGCUGAAAUCAGACAAGGUUCACACCAAGCAUCUGGGCGGCCAAUCGACCACCAACAGCUUCACCCAGAAUGGCAAUUAGCGAUAAGUGAAUAGUUCUAUUUCAACGAAACUUUGUUUCCGACGUUUUUUUUUCGUUCGUCAACCAAAUGCAAUGUUAAAAUUUAAAAGGUAUACAAUCUGUAUUGCAGACAGCUUGCUACGUUUGAGUUUUCGAUUCAGAUUUCUAAUUCAGAUUCAUUUAUAAAUUCCGAUUGAUAUUUCAGAUUAAGUUUUACGAUUCAGAUUCAGUUAAAUAUUUCAGAUUCUGAUUCCCGAUUCAAUUCCAAAUUGGAGAUUAACAUUAAGUUUUCGACUUAGAUUUUCAAAUUCAGUUCCAGACUUCAAACAGAUUCAGAUUUCAAAUCGAUAUUCAGAUUUAGGGUUCAGUUUUAGAUUUACAUCCAGUUUCAAGAUUCAGAUUUUAGAUUUAAAUGAAUAUAUUGUUUUCAGAUUAGAUUGAAAUUUCCGAUUCAGUUUCAAAGUUAAGACCCAAGGAGCCCACACCAGGCAGCUCAAUUGAAAUGUUUGGUGGAGGGGGUGAGCGGAGGGUCCUUGAGCAAAAAUUAAAAAAAAAGAUUUGCAUUUAAAUCGGGAUUUCAGAUCUAGUUCCACAUUACCUACAGGUUCAGAUUCAGAAUCAGAUUUUAAAUUCAGAUUUCAGAUUUAGAUUCAGAUUUCAGAUUCAUUUUAAGAUUCUGAUCCAGAUUUAUAAUACGAUUUCAGACCGAGAUUCAGAUUCAAAGUUCAAUUGAAAUUUAGAUUAUAUAUUUGAGUUAAUAUAAAAACUUCAGAUUCAGAUUACCGAUUGAGUUUUAUAUUUGAAAUUCACAUUAUGACCCAAAUUUCAGAUUCAGUUCCAUUCCAUACUUCAGUUUCCGACUCAAAUUUCAAAUUUAUUUCUUUAUUUCUGUUGAGUGGAAUUUUUAUAU
Molecule: long non-coding RNA, 1512 nt
Organism: Uranotaenia lowii
Lineage: Eukaryota; Metazoa; Arthropoda; Insecta; Diptera; Culicidae
Exons: 3
Source: RefSeq, a predicted model, not a curated record